RNAcentral lists this ribosomal RNA (899 nucleotides) under Amphidinium boggayum. Its description in RNAcentral is "partial large subunit ribosomal RNA". It matches the Rfam family "Eukaryotic large subunit ribosomal RNA", at positions 76 to 1175 of the family's 3401-position model. The record is from RNAcentral. Lineage: Eukaryota; Dinophyceae; Amphidiniales; Amphidiniaceae.
UCUCUCAGUAAUGGCGAAUGAACAGGGAUUAUGCUCAAGAUGCAAUCCGGCGCAUGCGCCCUGAAAUGUAGUCUGUGAAUGUGUCGUAUACGGCGACGCGAAGGAAGAUCUCUUGGGAAGGAGUGGUGAUAACGGUGAAACCCCUGCCCCCUGCGCAGAUCGCCGCUUGUUGCACACAAACUCAAAGUCGCGUUUCUCGGGAUUUGAACGUAAAUAAGGUGGUAACCAUCAUCUAAAGCCAAAUAACACAACUCUGGGCAGAUAGGUCACAAGUACCGUGAGGGAACGAUGAAAAGGACUUUGGAAAGAGAGUUAACAGUAUCUGAAUUUGUUGAGAGGGAAGUGGAUGAGAUCUCCAACGUUUGACGAGACAUGGGGUGUCAUUCGACCCGUCUUGAAACACGGACCAAGGAGUUUAACAGACGUGCGAGUUCCAGGAAAUGUGAUUUCUUCAAGCACAACGAAAGUGUAUGCUGGUAUCCGUGCACCAGCAACCGACUCUCACCUAGGAGUUGUUUGCGUGCGAGCAUGCCUGUUAAUACCCGAAAGAUGGUGAACUAUGCCCGUGGAGAGUGAGACCAGGGGAAAUUCUGGUGGAGGCUCGUAGCGAUACUGACGUGCAAAUCGUUCGUCACACAUGGGUAUAGGGGCGAAAGACUAAUCGAGCCAUCUAGUAGCUGGUUCCCUCCGAAGUUUCCCUCAGGAUAGUUGGUGUUGGAGAAUGUUAUCACGUAAAGCGAAUGAUUGGAGGAUUUGGGGGCGUGCAGUCUUCGACCUAUUCUCAAACUUUUAAAGGGUAAGUCCGCGAUUUUGCUCAAGUGAUUGUAUGCGGAUAGAUCUCAACAUCGAAUGGGCUAUUUUUGGUAAGCAGGAUUGGCGAUGAGGGAUGAACCUGACAU